ACGAGAUGCCGUGCCCGUUCGAGCGGUCCGCCCGAUAAACUGGCCGCCGGAGUGCCGGGCGCAGCCCUGUGCACCCCACCAAGAAAUAGCCAGCAGCCGCUGCAACCCCAGGGAG
RNAcentral lists this small RNA (115 nucleotides) under Actinacidiphila cocklensis. RNAcentral describes it as "Streptomyces cocklensis Streptomyces-metK". It matches the Rfam family "Streptomyces-metK RNA". The record is from RNAcentral. Lineage: Bacteria; Bacillati; Actinomycetota; Actinomycetes; Kitasatosporales; Streptomycetaceae.